RNAcentral lists this ribosomal RNA (1093 nucleotides) under uncultured Microgenomates group bacterium. RNAcentral's name for it is "bacterial SSU rRNA". It matches the Rfam family "Bacterial small subunit ribosomal RNA", at positions 8 to 1095 of the family's 1533-position model. The record is from RNAcentral.
AGAGUUUGAUCCUGGCUCAGGAUGAACGCUAGCGGUGUGCCUGAGAUAUGCAAGUCGAGCGACACUUUGAUCGCAAGAUUAAAGUGAGCGGCGGACGGCUGAGUGAUAUAUAGGAACUUGCCCCUAGGUAGAGAAUAGCCCCGAGAAAUCGGGGGUAAUGCUUUAUAGUGUUUCGCUCUGCGAGACUAAAGGACGUAACUGUUCGCCAAGGGAUAGGCCUAUAUCCUAUCAGGUAGUUGGUAAGGUAACGGCUUACCAAGCCUAUGACGGGUAGCUAAUCUGAGAGGAUGGUUAGCCAGAGGGGGACUGAGACACGGCCCCCACUCCUACGGGAGGCAGCAAUCAGGAAUAGUCGGCAAUGGACGAAAGUCUGACCGCGCGACACCGCGUGUAGGAUUAAGCUCUUCGGAGUGUAAACUACUGUGGCAGGGGAAGAAGUCCGCCUUUUUGGCGGAUUGACGGUACCCUGCUAGAAAGGAGCCGCUAACUGCGUGCCAGAAGCGUCGGUAAUACGUGGGCUUCAAGCGUUAUCCGGUUUUAUUGGGCGUAAAGGGUCGCGUAGGUGGCUUGAUAAGUUAUUUCUUAAAUUCCGGUGCUCAACACUGGACUUGGUUAUAAAACUGUUAAGCUAGAGUUUUCUAAAGGGGAACUGGAACUCAAAGAGGAGUAGUGAUAUGCGUUGAUACUUUGGGGAACACCAAUGGUGAAGACAAGUUCCUGGUAGAUUACUGACACUGAGACACGAAAGCUAGGGGAGCGAAGCAGAUUAGAGACCUGCGUAGUCCUAGCCCUAAACGAAUGUCUGCUACCUGCAUGAUCUCGAUUUAUCGAGCUCGUGUGGGAAAGGUAACCCGUUAAGCAGACCGCCUGGGGAGUACGACCGCAAGGUUAAAACUCAAAGGAAUUGGCGGGGAGGCACACAACCAGUGGAACAUGUGGUUCAAUUUGAUACGAACCAAAGAACCUCACCAAGGUUUGACAUGCUAGCGUCCAGCUUUCCGUAAUGGGAGAGUGUUCGCAAGAAGGCUAGCACAGGUGCUGCAUGGCUGUCGUCAGCUCGUUCCGUGAGGAGUGCCCUUAAGUGGGACAACGA